RNAcentral lists this ribosomal RNA (274 nucleotides) under uncultured bacterium. RNAcentral describes it as "partial 16S ribosomal RNA". It matches the Rfam family "Bacterial small subunit ribosomal RNA", at positions 523 to 796 of the family's 1533-position model. The record is from RNAcentral.
AUACGGAGGGUGCAAGCGUUAUUCGGAAUCACUGGGCGUAAAGGACGCGUAGGCGGGUUGGCAAGUCAGAUGUGAAAUCCUACAGCUUAACUGUAGAACUGCAUUUGAAACUGCUAACCUAGAGUAUGGGAGGGGGAGAUGGAAUUAGUGGUGUAGGGGUAAAAUCCGUAGAUAUCACUAGGAAUACCGAAAGCGAAGGCGAUCUCCUGGAACAAUACUGACGCUAAGGCGUGAAAGCGUGGGGAGCAAACGGGAUUAGAAACCCCAGUAGUCC